RNAcentral lists this ribosomal RNA (274 nucleotides) under uncultured bacterium. RNAcentral's name for it is "partial 16S ribosomal RNA". It matches the Rfam family "Bacterial small subunit ribosomal RNA", at positions 523 to 796 of the family's 1533-position model. The record is from RNAcentral.
AUACGAAGGGGGCUAGCGUUGCUCGGAAUUACUGGGCGUAAAGGGAGCGUAGGCGGACUGUUUAGUCAGAGGUGAAAGCCCAGGGCUCAACCUUGGAAUUGCCUUUGAUACUGGCAGUCUUGAGUACGGAAGAGGUAUGUGGAACUCCGAGUGUAGAGGUGAAAUUCGUAGAUAUUCGGAAGAACACCAGUGGCGAAGGCGACAUACUGGUCCGUUACUGACGCUGAGGCUCGAAAGCGUGGGGAGCAAACAGGAUUAGAUACCCUAGUAGUCC